GACGAACGCUGGCGGCGUGCUUAACACAUGCAAGUCGAACGGGCGUAGCAAUACGUCAGUGGCAGACGGGUGAGUAACGCGUGGGAACGUACCUUUUGGUUCGGAACAACCCAGGGAAACUUGGGCUAAUACCGGAUAAGCCCUUACGGGGAAAGAUUUAUCGCCGAAAGAUCGGCCCGCGUCUCGAUUAGCUAGUUGGUGAGGUAAUGGCUCACCAAGGCUACGAUCAGUAGCUGGUCUAAGAGGAUGAUCAGCCUCACUGGGACUGAGACACGGCCCAGACUCCUACGGGAGGCAGCAGUGGGGAAUAUUGGACAAUGGGCGCAAGCCUGAUCCAGCCAUGCCGCGUGGAUGAUGAAGGCCCUAGGGUUGUAAAGUCCUUUUAACGGGAAGAUAAUGACGGUACCCGUAGAAUAAGCCCGGCUAACUUCGUGCCAGCAGCAGCCGCCGUAAC
RNAcentral lists this ribosomal RNA (454 nucleotides) under uncultured bacterium. Its description in RNAcentral is "bacterial SSU rRNA". It matches the Rfam family "Bacterial small subunit ribosomal RNA", at positions 28 to 524 of the family's 1533-position model. The record is from RNAcentral.